ACGAACGCUGGCGGCGUGCUUAACACAUGCAAGUCGAGCGGUAAGGCCCUUUCGGGGUACGACGAGCGGCGAACGGGUGAGUAACACGUGGGUGACCUGCCCUUAGCUCUGGGAUAAGCCUGGGAAACGUGGGUCUAAUACCGGAUAUGACUCCAUGACGCAUGUUGGUGGGGUGGAAAGCCUUGUGCGGCUAGGGAUGGGCCCGCGGCCUAUCAGCUUGUUGGUGGGGUGAUGGCCUACCAAGGCGACGACGGGUAGCCGGCCUGAGAGGGCGACCGGCCACACUGGGACUGAGACAC
This 299-nucleotide ribosomal RNA is filed under the name uncultured bacterium. RNAcentral's name for it is "partial 16S ribosomal RNA". It matches the Rfam family "Bacterial small subunit ribosomal RNA", at positions 29 to 327 of the family's 1533-position model. The record is from RNAcentral.